AGAGUUUGAUCAUGGCUCAGAACGAACGCUGGCGGCAGGCUUAACACAUGCAAGUCGAACGCACCUUCGGGUGAGUGGCAGACGGGUGAGUAACACGUGGGAACGUGCCCUUCAGUUCGGAAUAACCCAGGGAAACUUGGGCUAAUACCGGAUACGUGCGAGAGCAGAAAGAUUUAUCGCUGAAGGAUCGGCCCGCGUCUGAUUAGCUAGUUGGUGGGGUAAUGGCCCACCAAGGCGACGAUCAGUAGCUGGUCUGAGAGGAUGAUCAGCCACAUUGGGACUGAGACACGGCCCAAACUCCUACGGGAGGCAGCAGUGGGGAAUAUUGGACAAUGGGCGCAAGCCUGAUCCAGCCAUGCCGCGUGAGUGAUGAAGGCCUUAGGGUUGUAAAGCUCUUUCGGCGGGGACGAUAAUGACGGUACCCGCAGAAGAAGCCCCGGCUAACUUCGUGCCAGCAGCCGCGGUAAUACGAAGGGGGCUAGCGUUGUUCGGAAUCACUGGGCGUAAAGGGCGCGUAGGCGGCUUGAUAAGUCGGGGGUGAAAGCCUGUGGCUCAACCACAGAAUUGCCUUCGAUACUGUCUGGCUUGAGACCGGAAGAGGUAAGUGGAACUGCGAGUGUAGAGGUGAAAUUCGUAGAUAUUCGCAAGAACACCAGUGGCGAGGGCGGCUUACUGGUCCGGUUCUGACGCUGAGGCGCGAAAGCGUGGGAGCAAACAGGAUUAGAUACCCUAGUAGUCC
RNAcentral lists this ribosomal RNA (739 nucleotides) under uncultured bacterium. RNAcentral's name for it is "bacterial SSU rRNA". It matches the Rfam family "Bacterial small subunit ribosomal RNA", at positions 8 to 796 of the family's 1533-position model. The record is from RNAcentral.